Molecule: ribosomal RNA, 1582 nt
Filed under: Escherichia coli
Lineage: Bacteria; Pseudomonadati; Pseudomonadota; Gammaproteobacteria; Enterobacterales; Enterobacteriaceae
Description: bacterial LSU rRNA
Rfam family: Bacterial large subunit ribosomal RNA
Source: RNAcentral
GAAGGUGUGCUGUGAGGCAUGCUGGAGGUAUCAGAAGUGCGAAUGCUGACAUAAGUAACGAUAAAGCGGGUGAAAAGCCCGCUCGCCGGAAGACCAAGGGUUCCUGUCCAACGUUAAUCGGGGCAGGGUGAGUCGACCCCUAAGGCGAGGCCGAAAGGCGUAGUCGAUGGGAAACAGGUUAAUAUUCCUGUACUUGGUGUUACUGCGAAGGGGGGACGGAGAAGGCUAUGUUGGCCGGGCGACGGUUGUCCCGGUUUAAGCGUGUAGGCUGGUUUUCCAGGCAAAUCCGGAAAAUCAAGGCUGAGGCGUGAUGACGAGGCACUACGGUGCUGAAGCAACAAAUGCCCUGCUUCCAGGAAAAGCCUCUAAGCAUCAGGUAACAUCAAAUCGUACCCCAAACCGACACAGGUGGUCAGGUAGAGAAUACCAAGGCGCUUGAGAGAACUCGGGUGAAGGAACUAGGCAAAAUGGUGCCGUAACUUCGGGAGAAGGCACGCUGAUAUGUAGGUGAAGUCCCUCGCGGAUGGAGCUGAAAUCAGUCGAAGAUACCAGCUGGCUGCAACUGUUUAUUAAAAACACAGCACUGUGCAAACACGAAAGUGGACGUAUACGGUGUGACGCCUGCCCGGUGCCGGAAGGUUAAUUGAUGGGGUCAGCGCAAGCGAAGCUCUUGAUCGAAGCCCCGGUAAACGGCGGCCGUAACUAUAACGGUCCUAAGGUAGCGAAAUUCCUUGUCGGGUAAGUUCCGACCUGCACGAAUGGCGUAAUGAUGGCCAGGCUGUCUCCACCCGAGACUCAGUGAAAUUGAACUCGCUGUGAAGAUGCAGUGUACCCGCGGCAAGACGGAAAGACCCCGUGAACCUUUACUAUAGCUUGACACUGAACAUUGAGCCUUGAUGUGUAGGAUAGGUGGGAGGCUUUGAAGUGUGGACGCCAGUCUGCAUGGAGCCGACCUUGAAAUACCACCCUUUAAUGUUUGAUGUUCUAACGUUGACCCGUAAUCCGGGUUGCGGACAGUGUCUGGUGGGUAGUUUGACUGGGGCGGUCUCCUCCUAAAGAGUAACGGAGGAGCACGAAGGUUGGCUAAUCCUGGUCGGACAUCAGGAGGUUAGUGCAAUGGCAUAAGCCAGCUUGACUGCGAGCGUGACGGCGCGAGCAGGUGCGAAAGCAGGUCAUAGUGAUCCGGUGGUUCUGAAUGGAAGGGCCAUCGCUCAACGGAUAAAAGGUACUCCGGGGAUAACAGGCUGAUACCGCCCAAGAGUUCAUAUCGACGGCGGUGUUUGGCACCUCGAUGUCGGCUCAUCACAUCCUGGGGCUGAAGUAGGUCCCAAGGGUAUGGCUGUUCGCCAUUUAAAGUGGUACGCGAGCUGGGUUUAGAACGUCGUGAGACAGUUCGGUCCCUAUCUGCCGUGGGCGCUGGAGAACUGAGGGGGGCUGCUCCUAGUACGAGAGGACCGGAGUGGACGCAUCACUGGUGUUCGGGUUGUCAUGCCAAUGGCACUGCCCGGUAGCUAAAUGCGGAAGAGAUAAGUGCUGAAAGCAUCUAAGCACGAAACUUGCCCCGAGAUGAGUUCUCCCUGAC